Molecule: ribosomal RNA, 674 nt
Filed under: uncultured fungus
Lineage: Eukaryota; Fungi
Description: eukaryotic LSU rRNA
Rfam family: 5.8S ribosomal RNA (bases 250-403)
Source: RNAcentral
AGUAAAAGUCGUAACAAGGUUUCCGUAGGUGAACCUGCGGAAGGAUCAUUAACGUAUCUCUGACGGGGCGGGUCGGCCCUGCUCGGACCCGAAAGGGCCUUUGCAGCGGGUUGCCCGUCACGCUCAACCUUCACAAACCCUGUGCACCUUUGCGGCGGGAGGCGGCGGCGAGAGCCCCGUCCGAUGCCGAACACACACAAACCCGAGUCUAAAGAAUGACAAGCGGCCCCGUGCCGCCUAAAACAUAACAACUUUCAACAACGGAUCUCUUGGCUCUCGCAUCGACGAAGAACGCAGCGAAAUGCGAUAAGUAAUGUGAAUUGCAGAAUUCAGUGAAUCAUCGAAUCUUUGAACGCACCUUGCGCUCCUUGGUAUUCCGAGGAGCAUGCCUGUUUGAGUGUCUUGAAGUCAUCAACCCCUGCCGUUUCGUGCGGCUUGCGUGUUGGAGCUGGGGGCUUGCUGCCGAGAGGCGGCUCCCCUCAAAUGCGUCGGUUGGGCCUGCGGGUCGGACUCGAUUGGGCGUUGUACCAUCCUCGCUCUGAACGAGAAGUUCCCCUAUUAGUCGCCCCUCCACGACCAGCCUUCCAGAGUGGCGGUCAAACCAAAACCUUGAAAUCUGACCUCAAAUCAGGUAGGACUACCCGCUGAACUUAAGCAUAUCAAUAAGCGGAGGA